RNAcentral lists this ribosomal RNA (794 nucleotides) under Enterococcus lactis. RNAcentral describes it as "bacterial SSU rRNA". It matches the Rfam family "Bacterial small subunit ribosomal RNA", at positions 37 to 820 of the family's 1533-position model. The record is from RNAcentral. Lineage: Bacteria; Bacillati; Bacillota; Bacilli; Lactobacillales; Enterococcaceae.
GGGCAGUGCGGGUCUAUAAUGCAGUCGUACGCUUCUUUUUCCACCGGAGCUUGCUCCACCGGAAAAAGAAGAGUGGCGAACGGGUGAGUAACACGUGGGUAACCUGCCCAUCAGAAGGGGAUAACACUUGGAAACAGGUGCUAAUACCGUAUAACAAUCGAAACCGCAUGGUUUUGAUUUGAAAGGCGCUUUCGGGUGUCGCUGAUGGAUGGACCCGCGGUGCAUUAGCUAGUUGGUGAGGUAACGGCUCACCAAGGCCACGAUGCAUAGCCGACCUGAGAGGGUGAUCGGCCACAUUGGGACUGAGACACGGCCCAAACUCCUACGGGAGGCAGCAGUAGGGAAUCUUCGGCAAUGGACGAAAGUCUGACCGAGCAACGCCGCGUGAGUGAAGAAGGUUUUCGGAUCGUAAAACUCUGUUGUUAGAGAAGAACAAGGAUGAGAGUAACUGUUCAUCCCUUGACGGUAUCUAACCAGAAAGCCACGGCUAACUACGUGCCAGCAGCCGCGGUAAUACGUAGGUGGCAAGCGUUGUCCGGAUUUAUUGGGCGUAAAGCGAGCGCACGCGGUUUCUUAAGUCUGAUGUGAAAGCCCCCGGCUCAACCGGGGAGGGUCAUUGGAAACUGGGAGACUUGAGUGCAGAAGAGGAAGUGGAAUUCAUGUGUAGCGGUGAAUGCGUAGAUUAUGGAGGAACCCAGUGGCGAAGGCGGCUCUCUAGUCUGUACUGACGCUGAGGCUCGAAGCGUGGGGAGCAACAGGAUAGAACGGGGGUUCCAAAAAAAAGGGGGGGGGGG